UCCUCCGUACUCUGUUGGUUGGGUAGCGAGACUUUGAAUCUCGUGUUCGUUGGUUCGAUUCCAGCCGGAGGAGC
RNAcentral lists this transfer RNA (74 nucleotides) under Streptomyces phage Coruscant. Its description in RNAcentral is "tRNA-Gln". It matches the Rfam family "tRNA". Rfam says of the family: Transfer RNA (tRNA) molecules are approximately 80 nucleotides in length. Their secondary structure includes four short double-helical elements and three loops (D, anti-codon, and T loops). Lineage: Duplodnaviria; Heunggongvirae; Uroviricota; Caudoviricetes; Stanwilliamsviridae. The record is from RNAcentral.